This is a non-coding RNA of Podarcis lilfordi (Lilford's wall lizard), 2889 nucleotides long. NCBI's taxonomy places the organism in Eukaryota, Metazoa, Chordata, Lepidosauria, Squamata, Lacertidae. The record is from the annotation of a GenBank genome assembly.
AUACCACUUAUUUUAUUAAAUAAUCCACAGUGCUUCAUAAAAAAUAAAAUCUGUUUGCACUCUCCAUCCAUCUAACACAUAUCUAUAGGGUGCACUUCACAGAAAAGUGCAAAUUCAUAAUUUACAAAUAAAUAUUGGGGGGAAAUGUGCUAUUUGCAACAGGCAGGGAACUGGAUCACAUUAAUAUGGGCAAUAAGUGGCAAGGCAGAGCUGUCUUUUUUUUCCUAUUCAAAAGCUGUUUUGACUAGUUGAAAGCAGCACAUACAUUUUGCCUGCUAAGGCACCAUAUGAAACUGUGGUUUCUGAACUUUUUUUUAUUACUAUCAUCAUCAAAGGCUGAUUCAUACAAACUUUAUUGAAUGAGCUGAAAUGAACUUAAGCUGCUUUAGAGAGAAAGAAUUUCUGCAUGGUGGCCAGGUAUUUUGAAUUGAUGUUGACUGCCAGCUCACCUCAGCCCAGUGUGCUGAAUGUUUUCUGGCACACUGAGCGCCACAAGCUGGGCUUAUUCCACUGAAGUAUUCAGAAAAACAGCUGACCCAAGCCCAAACUCCUGGAAUCUUGAUGCAUAAAAUGUCUUAUUUUUCAUGUAUCUAAUCAACAUAAAAAUGUUUACAUGUUAUCAGCCAUUGCUAUACUGUAUUUACUUGAGUCUAAUGCGCCAUCGAAUCUAAUGCGCACCUCAAUUUUCAGAACCUUGAAACCCAAAAAAGUAUUUUCUGGCGAAUGUAAAUGUGUCAUCGAAUCUAAUGCACUCCUUAAUUUCCACAACGUAAUUUGGCCAAAAAAGGUGAGCAUUAGAUUUGAGUAAAUACAUUAUUUUAUUUCAAAGAGCUCUGCAUAAGUAGCUAAAUCCACUGUACAAUGGAAAUCUGCACAGGAAUUAGCCCCACUGCAAGUUCCUUGCAAUCUCAAAAAGUUAUGUACACAUAAAUGGCUGUUUGAGCUAGAUACAAUCUUGUCAUAUUAUCUUAUAUUUGUUUAUCUUUUCGUUAAUAAUCACAUCACUCAAAAUGGUGUCUUUCUCAGCCUGCGAUCCCAAGAUGCCUUCUCAAGAUGAGAGGGCUGUCCAUCUUUUUCGUCAUGGGUCUAGAAGUAACUUUGCAAACCACUGCCUCUCUCUGUGUUCAUUGAGAUUGUGAGGACAUGCACAAAUUAGUUCCUUCUUAUGGUGAUGAGAAAAUGCCAAGUGGUUGCUAGGCUAACUCAGCAGCGAUUGGAAUAUGCAUCUUUCACUGUCUAGCAAUCACAUCUUCCCUUACCGUUUUUUCCUUUCCUGGAACAGUUAUCAGGCUGUGCUUGUGAGUGUCAGAGGUUUAGGGUGUCUCUAAAUGUACAGUUUCCACCCGGGCCCACAUUCCAAGCCCUAGAAUGUUAAACUGUAGGGACACAGCAACUAUUCGUGUUACCAAUCAAUCAGCACUUCAUUGUGCAGUGAAAAACACUGCCUCACAAUGUGCCAAAUAGAAAACUGUAGCGGUGAUCUACAGAGUAAAAUUCAAGCAUGCAGUACUGAAUCCCAUAUGCAGAGUCUGAGAACUUCAACUUGUAAGGUAAUGAAAAUGUUGGGUUGUAUCCAACACUGUUGUUCCACUUGCACAAAGGGUUUUUGCCUCCUCUUAUCCCCUGCAGCUCCCCAUGCAUCUUCACAGUCUGCUUCAGAAAACUGGAGGAUCCUUUGGAACAAAUUUUGGGGGGCACAGAGGGAGAGGAAAGGGAAAUCCCACUGCACCAGUCAAACGCCUUUUGCACAGCACUGGAAACAACCUUUUGCCUCAAACCUUGAACUUCUGAAUAAAAUUUGGCUGAAGGCAUGCCCUCUCAUGCAUGCUGAGAGAUCACGGACAGACAGAAUACGAACACUUCCAGCAAAAUAAUAGGCAUCUUUACUUGCAAGUAAACCCCACUGUGUUCAGCGGGCUUUGUCCCUAGUAAAUGUACUUACGGGACAGCUGCCUUAAAUUGGGUGCUAGGUGAAAAUAAACCUAAGUGCAUAAAGGGGUACUGGGAGGUACAGUAGAAGCAUUUCCUUGGAAAAUAUAAAAGACAGCAGUUAUUUGGAUCUGUUUCUAGAAAAAAAAAUAAGUUUCUUCGUGCCAUGAGAUUUAUGGCUGCUAUUUCAUUUUUCUUACUUUAAUAUAGCUGCCCAAUUCAAGGGCAAAAAUAGUCAGGAUAUAACUCCCAUUUGUUGCUUGAAAAUACCAAAACAAUUCUGUUACUGACCUUUUCUUAUUGUCUAAAACUUAUGACCUUUUAAAUCCUCCUGGCUGUCACUUACCUUUAUUGAGUGAAGCCACCCCCAACUACCAGAAACCAUUUGCAUUGCUUUCCUACAAGAACACAAUCCCUUCAGGUCAAGUAAAGCAAAACACAGACUGGCCACAGUCCCUUAGUGUGACAAUAAUGCUAGCAAAUCAAAGGACAGGCAGUAUUAUGGCAUCAGCUGCUGCCUUUUAUACAUAUAAAUCAACAUCAAAGCACUAGAAUAUCAAAAUCGCAUCUCACUUUAGCAAUUCCGCUUUGGCUAUGAAGCUCUCCCCUUUCUAGAAAAAAAUGCAUUUACUUGUUUUCACUCUUGCUCUUGUCUCAUCUCCUUAAAUUAAUUUGGAAUGGUAUAGCCAUACAUCAACAUGAAGCUAUAAACAGAUUCCAGAUACGAGUGCCAUUUUCCUGCCAUCAGAAUCCAUCUUUAAAAACUAGCUCCAUGUUCAAAGGUGGGGGCAUUAUUCAGAUGAAGAGUGAAACUGCUCAAAGCCAGUCGCUGAAUCUAUCCUUGGUAUGACCAGAGCCUAAGAGUCUUAGACUAGACAAAAAAAUAAUUUCAUUCUAAGGCCUUAGCAGUCAAAUGUUUACGAUCCACCACGCUGGUUUGGACAUAAUGCUAAACCAUUG